CGAACGAAAAGAGGGAAAGAGCUUGCUCUUUCCGGAAUUGAGUGGCAAACGGGUGAGUAACACGUAAACAACCUGCCUUCAGGAUGGGGACAACAGACGGAAACGACUGCUAAUACCGAAUAAGUUCCAAGAGCCGCAUGGCCCAUGGAAGAAAAGGUGGCCUCUACCUGUAAGCUAUCGCCUGAAGAGGGGUUUGCGUCUGAUUAGCUGGUUGGAGGGGUAACGGCCCACCAAGGCGACGAUCAGUAGCCGGUCUGAGAGGAUGAACGGCCACACUGGAACUGAGACACGGUCCAGACUCCUACGGGAGGCAGCAGUGGGGAAUCUUCCGCAAUGGGCGAAAGCCUGACGGAGCAACGCCGCGUGAGUGAUGACGGCCUUCGGGUUGUAAAACUCUGUGAUCCGGGACGAAAAUGCAGAGUGCGAAGAACAAACUGCAUUGACGGUACCGGAAAAGCAAGCCACGGCUAACUACGUGCCAGCAGCCGCGGUAAUACGUAGGUGGCAAGCGUUGUCCGGAAUUAUUGGGCGUAAAGCGCGCGCAGGCGGCUUCCCAAGUCCCUCUUAAAAGUGCGGGGCUUAACCCCGUGAUGGGAAGGAAACUGGGAAGCUGGAGUAUCGGAGAGGAAAGUGGAAUUCCUAGUGUAGCGGUGAAAUGCGUAGAGAUUAGGAAGAACACCGGUGGCGAAGGCGACUUUCUGGACGAAAACUGACGCUGAGGCGCGAAAGCGUGGGGAGCAAACAGAAGUAGAUACCCUGGUAGUCCACGCCGUAAAC
This 777-nucleotide ribosomal RNA is filed under the name uncultured bacterium. Its description in RNAcentral is "bacterial SSU rRNA". It matches the Rfam family "Bacterial small subunit ribosomal RNA", at positions 63 to 807 of the family's 1533-position model. The record is from RNAcentral.